GCUGACUUAGCUCAAUUGGCAGAGCAUCGGUUUUGUAAACCGACGGUUGUAGGUUCAAUUCCUAUAGUCAGCUCCA
Molecule: transfer RNA, 76 nt
Filed under: Oligoflexia bacterium
Lineage: Bacteria; Pseudomonadati; Bdellovibrionota; Oligoflexia
Description: tRNA-Thr
Rfam family: tRNA
About the family: Transfer RNA (tRNA) molecules are approximately 80 nucleotides in length.
Source: RNAcentral